CUCGUAGUCACUCUGAGAGGUUUGUGUCAUCAGAACAGUGGUUUUGUCAAAAUCAGCCCCCGGGCUCAUCACGAACCACCCAAGUUUGGUCAAUUCAGCUACUGGGUCACCGUCCUCACCGACAAGUGGUACAGUUCCGGUUUUAAUUCGAGCGUAUUCUCCACUUCCCAACAUCAUGUGAAUCGGGAGUUGCUGUUUCGAAUCAUGGUCUGCGAUCUCGACUUGUUUCAGGUGCUGAUGCUUUCGUAUCAACUGUUCAUAUCUUGGGUUAUCAAUCCUCAACAGUUCACCCUUGUUGACUUUUGUCACACGUACUUCCA
Molecule: non-coding RNA, 320 nt
Organism: Paramuricea clavata
Lineage: Eukaryota; Metazoa; Cnidaria; Anthozoa; Malacalcyonacea; Plexauridae
Source: the annotation of a GenBank genome assembly